Molecule: long non-coding RNA, 501 nt
Filed under: Durio zibethinus
Lineage: Eukaryota; Viridiplantae; Streptophyta; Magnoliopsida; Malvales; Malvaceae
Description: long non-coding RNA (DZIB_LNC000545)
Source: RNAcentral
AGACAGAUGAGAAAGUGGGAGAAUGUGGUGUCAUGACUUUUUUCUUGAAGGGCAUCCUCUGUUGACGAAUCUAUUUGUUGCCUACGAUUCCCCUGAGAAUGGAUCUCUCAGUUGGAUCAAGAAGGCCGAAAGCCAGGCAGUCAAGUUCAAGUUGUGGACCUCUAGGGACUUGAGAUGAGAAACCUAAAAGAGAGAUGAGAGUUUACAGAUGAGAGACAACAAUGAGACUUGAGGUUGGAAGAGAUGAGCAAACAGGACACAAUAAGAGAAUCAAGAGAGGAGAUACAAGGGAUGAGGGUGAGGUUCGAGAGAGAAAAAUUAGGGAAGACAUUGUCAGGGAAUGAGAAGAGGCGGCGAAGAACUGGGAUGAGAGGUAGAGGCAGAGAAUGAAUUGGGGAAGUUUAGGGAUCUGCUGCUGGGAUUGGAGAAGGAAUUGAAUGAGGUCGAGGAGUGGGACCAUGGGAGAAAUUAAAGGUGCAAUAUAGGGAGAAGACACCGGCG